Molecule: long non-coding RNA, 722 nt
Filed under: Rattus norvegicus (Norway rat)
Lineage: Eukaryota; Metazoa; Chordata; Mammalia; Rodentia; Muridae
Description: long non-coding RNA NONRATT003109
Source: RNAcentral
CCUAAAGAAAUGUUCAACAUCUUUAGUCAUAAGGGAAAUGCAAAUCAAAACAUCCCUGAGAUUUCACCUCACACCAGUGAGAAUGGCUAAGAUCAAAAACUCAGGCAACAGCAGAUGCCGGCAAGGAUAUGGAGAAAGAGGAACACUCCUCCAUUGUUGGUGGGAUUGCAGACUGGUACAACCAUUCUGGAAAUCAGUCUGGAGGUUCCUCAGAAAAUUGGACAUUGAACUACCUGAGGACCCAGCUAUACCUCUCUUGGGCAUAUACCCAAAAGAUGCCCCAACAUAAAACAAAGACACAUGCUCCACUAUGUUCAUCGCAGCCUUAUUUGUAAUAGCCAGAAGCUGGAAAUAACCCAGAUGCCCAUCAUCAGAGGAAUGGAUACAGAAAAUGUGGUACAUCUACACAAUGGAAUAUUACUCAGCUAUCAAAAACAAUGACUGUAUGAAAUUCAUAGGCAAAUGGAUGGAACUGGAAAAUAUCAUCCUGAGUGAGGUAACCCAAUCACAGAAGAACACACAUAGUAUGCACUCAUUGAUAAGUGGCUAUUAGCCCAAAUAUUUGAAUUACCCUAGAUGCACAGAACACAUGAAACUCAAGAAGGAUGACCAAAAUGCGAAUGCUUCACUCCUUCUUUAAAAGGGGAACAAGAAUACCCUUGGGAGGGAAUAGGGAGGCAAAGUUUAGAACAGAGGCAGAAGGAACACCCAUUCAGAGCCUG